CCUACGGGGUGCAGCAGUGAGGAAUAUUGGUCAAUGGACGAGAGUCUGAACCAGCCAAGUAGCGUGAAGGAUGACUGCCCUAUGGGUUGUAAACUUCUUUUAUAUGGGAAUAAAAUGUUCCACGUGUGGGCUUUUGUAUGUACCAUAUGAAUAAGGAUCGGCUAACUCCGUGCCAGCAGCCGCGGUAAUACGGAGGAUCCGAGCGUUAUCCGGAUUUAUUGGGUUUAAAGGGAGCGUAGGUGGAUUGUUAAGUCAGUUGUGAAAGUUUGCGGCUCAACCGUAAACGUGCAGUUGAAACUGGCAGUCUUGAGUACAGUAGAGGUGGGCGGAAUUCGUGGUGUAGCGGUGAAAUGCUUAGAUAUCACGAAGAACUCCGAUUGCGAAGGCAGCUCACUGGACUGCAACUGACACUGAGGCUCGAAAGUGUGGGUAUCAAACAGGAUUAGAUACCCCGGUAGUC
RNAcentral lists this ribosomal RNA (460 nucleotides) under uncultured bacterium. RNAcentral's name for it is "partial 16S ribosomal RNA". It matches the Rfam family "Bacterial small subunit ribosomal RNA", at positions 338 to 795 of the family's 1533-position model. The record is from RNAcentral.